AUGAGAUGGGAAACACCAAAUUUGAAGAUACCACAUGUAGACAAGUUUAGUUGCCCUGUGAAUUUACAAAAAUGGUCACAAGUUUGCCUUCACAAUGCAACAAGAGGUGNUAUGUACCCAUCACGUACAGAUCUUGGACUGGAUAGCUCAAAACCAGCUGAUGAUCAGAAUAUGUGUAAGGAAAAAUUAUACAAGUAGGAGUAUGUCAUAUAUCAUAUGCAGUGAUAGAAACUAUUAGUAGUGUGUGAAUAUUUAUCCACUUAGAAGCACCUCAAAGAAAAGCCACUUCAUAUAUCAAAUUAAAGCAAGACUGCUCUCAGUUCUACUUCAUCCUGGGCCAACUCAACCCACAUAGUCAGCAGUGUUAUACAGAUAAUUUAAUAAGAGUUACUUUUAGCUUUUAUUUAUCCAGCAGUGCAAGCUAUGUAAACUAAUAGGCAAAAUUGGACUUGCAUAUUAGUGGGCAAAUACUGAGGUUUUGCAUGUGUAAAUUCCUUCAAUGCUGUGGAAGGGAGGAGACAUAAAACUACCGUAUGUUGAAAGCCCAUACAACUUCAGUUCUACCCUCUCCUCUAGACAUUGCAAUAUAUAUGACGUAACCUUUAAACUGAGAGCCUCAACUUUGCAUAAUCUGGCAGCAUUAUUACUGUGCACUGGCUGCACUCACACUAAGGUUUUUUUAAACAUUUGUUAACACUUAGCAGAAUUUCUAUCAGUGGAAGCCAGCAGUGUAUUUCUACCAUAAACCAAUGGUAAACUUUGGGAUUUAGUAGCAUCCAUGAUAAACUGGUGUUUAGUUCAAUACUCAAAAAAGGAAGAUUUCUAGUGAUUUACCUAAAGGCAAUUCAGUGCUUCUAACAAAUGGAAGAAAAGCAGUUAUGAUCAGAAAAAAUGACUAUGGAAAAGUGGCACUUCCUUGCUCAACGUAAGUGCUUCCUGAGUGUAUUCCAUUUCAUCUGCUUACUUUUCUGACAAAAAAUAAAGGCCCAGUUGAAUAGUUCUUACCCA
Molecule: long non-coding RNA, 1008 nt
Filed under: Chrysemys picta bellii (western painted turtle)
Lineage: Eukaryota; Metazoa; Chordata; Testudines; Emydidae
Description: lncRNA (ENSCPBG00000027046.1)
Source: RNAcentral